Molecule: ribosomal RNA, 478 nt
Filed under: uncultured bacterium
Lineage: Bacteria
Description: partial 16S ribosomal RNA
Rfam family: Bacterial small subunit ribosomal RNA
Source: RNAcentral
GAUGAACGCUGGCGGCGUGCUUAACACAUGCAAGUCGAACGGGAAACCUUUUAUUGCAGCUUCGGCAGAUUUAGCUGGUUUCUAGUGGCGGACGGGUGAGUAACGCGUGGGUAACCUGCCUUAUACAGGGGGAUAACAGUCAGAAAUGGCUGCUAAUACCGCAUAAGCGCACAGAGCUGCAUGGCUCAGUGUGAAAAACUCCGGUGGUAUAAGAUGGACCCGCGUUGGAUUAGCUGGUUGGUGGGGUAACGGCCCACCAAGGCGACGAUCCAUAGCCGGCCUGAGAGGGUGAACGGCCACAUUGGGGCUGAGACACGGCCCAGACUCCUACGGGAGGCAGCAGUGGGGAAUAUUGCACAAUGGGGGAAACCCUGAUGCAGCGACGCCGCGUGAAGGAAGAAGUAUCUCGGUAUGUAAACUUCUAUCAGCAGGGAAGAUAAUGACGGUACCUGACUAAGAAGCCCCGGCUAACUACGUG